RNAcentral lists this ribosomal RNA (492 nucleotides) under uncultured bacterium. RNAcentral's name for it is "bacterial SSU rRNA". It matches the Rfam family "Bacterial small subunit ribosomal RNA", at positions 8 to 518 of the family's 1533-position model. The record is from RNAcentral.
AGAGUUGAUCCUGGCUUAGGACGAACGCUGGCGGCGUGCUUAACACAUGCAAGUCGAGCGGUAAGGCCUUCGGGGUACACGAGCGGCGAACGGGUGAGUAACACGUGGGUGAUCUGCCCUGCACUCUGGGAUAAGCUUGGGAAACUGGGUCUAAUACCGGAUAUGACCGCAUGCCGCAUGGUGUGUGGUGGAAAGAUUUAUCGGUGCAGGAUGGGCCCGCGGCCUAUCAGCUUGUUGGUGGGGUAAUGGCCUACCAAGGCGACGACGGGUAGCCGACCUGAGAGGGUGACCGGCCACACUGGGACUGAGACACGGCCCAGACUCCUACGGGAGGCAGCAGUGGGGAAUAUUGCACAAUGGGCGGAAGCCUGAUGCAAGCGACACCGCGUGAGGGAUGAAGGCCUUCGGGUUGUAAACCUCUUUCAGCAGGGACGAAGCGUGAGUGACGGUACCUGCAGAAGAAGCACCGGCUAACUACGUGCCAGCCGCAGC